UGCUGGAGGUAUCAGAAGUGCGAAUGCUGACAUAAGUAACGAUAAAGCGGGUGAAAAGCCCGCUCGCCGGAAGACCAAGGGUUCCUGUCCAACGUUAAUCGGGGCAGGGUGAGUCGACCCCUAAGGCGAGGCCGAAAGGCGUAGUCGAUGGGAAACAGGUUAAUAUUCCUGUACUUGGUGUUACUGCGAAGGGGGGACGGAGAAGGCUAUGUUGGCCGGGCGACGGUUGUCCCGGUUUAAGCGUGUAGGCUGAUUUUCCAGGCAAAUCCGGAAAAUCAAGGCUGAGGCGUGAUGACGAGGCACUACGGUGCUGAAGCAACAAAUGCCCUGCUUCCAGGAAAAGCCUCUAAGCAUCAGGUAACAUCAAAUCGUACCCCAAACCGACACAGGUGGUCAGGUAGAGAAUACCAAGGCGCUUGAGAGAACUCGGGUGAAGGAACUAGGCAAAAUGGUGCCGUAACUUCGGGAGAAGGCACGCUGAUAUGUAGGUGAAGCGACUUGCUCGUGGAGCUGAAAUCAGUCGAAGAUACCAGCUGGCUGCAACUGUUUAUUAAAAACACAGCACUGUGCAAACACGAAAGUGGACGUAUACGGUGUGACGCCUGCCCGGUGCCGGAAGGUUAAUUGAUGGGGUUAGCGGUAACGCGAAGCUCUUGAUCGAAGCCCCGGUAAACGGCGGCCGUAACUAUAACGGUCCUAAGGUAGCGAAAUUCCUUGUCGGGUAAGUUCCGACCUGCACGAAUGGCGUAAUGAUGGCCAGGCUGUCUCCACCCGAGACUCAGUGAAAUUGAACUCGCUGUGAAGAUGCAGUGUACCCGCGGCAAGACGGAAAGACCCCGUGAACCUUUACUAUAGCUUGACACUGAACAUUGAGCCUUGAUGUGUAGGAUAGGUGGGAGGCUUUGAAGUGUGGACGCCAGUCUGCAUGGAGCCGACCUUGAAAUACCACCCUUUAAUGUUUGAUGUUCUAACGUUGGCCCGUUAUCCGGGUUGCGGACAGUGUCUGGUGGGUAGUUUGACUGGGGCGGUCUCCUCCUAAAGAGUAACGGAGGAGCACGAAGGUUGGCUAAUCCUGGUCGGACAUCAGGAGGUUAGUGCAAUGGCAUAAGCCAGCUUGACUGCGAGCGUGACGGCGCGAGCAGGUGCGAAAGCAGGUCAUAGUGAUCCGGUGGUUCUGAAUGGAAGGGCCAUCGCUCAACGGAUAAAAGGUACUCCGGGGAUAACAGGCUGAUACCGCCCAAGAGUUCAUAUCGACGGCGGUGUUUGGCACCUCGAUGUCGGCUCAUCACAUCCUGGGGCUGAAGUAGGUCCCAAGGGUAUGGCUGUUCGCCAUUUAAAGUGGUACGCGAGCUGGGUUUAGAACGUCGUGAGACAGUUCGGUCCCUAUCUGCCGUGGGCGCUGGAGAACUGAGGGGGGCUGCUCCUAGUACGAGAGGACCGGAGUGGACGCAUCACUGGUGUUCGGGUUGUCAUGCCAAUGGCACUGCCCGGUAGCUAAAUGCGGAAGAGAUAAGUGCUGAAAGCAUCUAAGCACGAAACUUGCCCCGAGAUGAGUUCUCCCUGACUCC
RNAcentral lists this ribosomal RNA (1568 nucleotides) under Escherichia coli. RNAcentral's name for it is "partial 23S ribosomal RNA". It matches the Rfam family "Bacterial large subunit ribosomal RNA", at positions 1271 to 2822 of the family's 2925-position model. The record is from RNAcentral. Lineage: Bacteria; Pseudomonadati; Pseudomonadota; Gammaproteobacteria; Enterobacterales; Enterobacteriaceae.